AUGUUUGGUUUGGUGUAUUGGCUAAGCCAAUACACCCCUAAUCGGUGGACCCCAUCUAAUCCCUCUCUAUCCCGUGUUUGGUUUAAAGUAUUGGUAAUACGGGUGUAAUCGGUUACUUUCCUAAUCGGUGAAAAUCACUGAUUUCUAUUCCCCCCAUUUUGCCCAGAUUAGGAACGGCUUCAGCAAACCCUCCCUGUUUUACCCUCCCCCGAUCCCCUGUGUUCCUCUUCCGUUCCUUCAAGCUUGCUCCCCCCGUUUCAUUUCAUUUCUUUUUCGGCCGAUUUGCUCUCUGUCGAUUUGCUCUCUGUUUUACCCUCCCGAUUGCCUUCCCCAUUGUCUUCCUUCCUUCUACCUUCUGCCCAUUUGCUAAAGUUUCGACUGAUUUCCUUCUACCUUCUCCCUUCUUUUCUUUUUCUUUACAACUUCUCUGUCACUCUUUCGAUUGGCCUUCUCAACCAGUCGACACUCUUUCGAUUGCUCUCAAGUAGUGGGUUUCGACACUCUUUCG
RNAcentral lists this long non-coding RNA (508 nucleotides) under Gossypium raimondii (Peruvian cotton). Its description in RNAcentral is "long non-coding RNA (GRAI_LNC007085)". Lineage: Eukaryota; Viridiplantae; Streptophyta; Magnoliopsida; Malvales; Malvaceae. The record is from RNAcentral.